GAUGAACGCUGGCGGUAUGCUUAACACAUGCAAGUCGAACGGACUCUUCGGAGUUAGUGGCGGACGGGUGAGUAACGCGUGAGAAUCUGGCUUUGGGUUCGGGACAACCACUGGAAACGGUGGCUAAUACCGGAUGUGCCGAGAGGUAAAAGAGAAAUUGCCUGAAGAUGAGCUCGCGUCUGAUUAGCUAGUUGGUGAGGUAAAGGCUCACCAAGGCAGCGAUCAGUAGCUGGUCUGAGAGGAUGACCAGCCACACUGGGACUGAGACACGGCCCAGACUCCUACGGGAGGCAGCAGUGGGGAAUUUUCCGCAAUGGGCGAAAGCCUGACGGAGCAAUACCGCGUGAGGGAAGAAGGCUCUUGGAUUGUAAACCUCUUUUCCUAGGGAAGAACAAAAUGACGGUACCUAAGGAAUCAGCAUCGGCUAACUCCGUG
RNAcentral lists this ribosomal RNA (435 nucleotides) under uncultured bacterium. RNAcentral describes it as "partial 16S ribosomal RNA". It matches the Rfam family "Bacterial small subunit ribosomal RNA", at positions 28 to 507 of the family's 1533-position model. The record is from RNAcentral.